Molecule: ribosomal RNA, 511 nt
Filed under: uncultured bacterium
Lineage: Bacteria
Description: bacterial SSU rRNA
Rfam family: Bacterial small subunit ribosomal RNA
Source: RNAcentral
AACGAACGCUGGCGGCGUGCUUAACACAUGCAAGUCGAACGCGAAAGGGACUUCGGUCCUGAGUAAAGUGGCGCACGGGUGAGUAACGCGUAGAUAACCUGUCUUCAUGUCUGGAAUAAUACGCCGAAAGGGGUACUAAUACCGGAUAUUCUUGCUUUUCAUAAGUUGUGCAAGCAAAGGUGGCCUCUGCAUAUGCUACUGCAUGAAGAGGGGUCUGCGUACCAUUAGCUAGUAGGUGGGGUAAUGGCCUACCUAGGCGACGAUGGUUAGCGGGUCUGAGAGGAUGAUCCGCCACACUGGCACUGGAACACGGGCCAGACUCCUACGGGAGGCAGCAGUGAGGAAUAUUGCGCAAUGGGGGAAACCCUGACGCAGCGACGCCGCGUGAGUGAGGAAAGGCCUUCGGGUCGUAAAGCUCUGUCAAGAGGAAAGAAGUGUACAAUGGCUAAUACCUGUUGUAUUUGACGGUACCUCUAAAGGAAGCACCGGCUAACUCCGUGCCAGCAGCUGC